UAGUGGACUAGUUGGCCGUGGGUUCUGAAUUUGAAACUUUUUUGAAAAUGGUAUUGGGGAGUUGCCAGAGUUUAUCAUCGCUAUCUUUUCCUUCAGACGGUAAUUCAAUAAGGCACGUGCUAUUGUGAUUUGUUCUAUCUCAUCAAUGUUCUCUGGUUCAGAUGAAGAACUUGCAUCUUCCUUUGCCACUGGCCAUAAAGAACACACACAUUUACACUUUAACCAUAAGUGGCAUUAACAGAGAUGCAAUGCUAACAACUCAGAGACAAGUUUACCAACAUUUAUGGCUUGGCAUAGAGUGCCAAAGGCAGGACAAGUCACUAUUUAUUUCCAGAAGACAAUCUUCCUCCGGAUAUACUAACAUAUGCAUAUUAAAUAAAAUAAGGAAAAAUCAUCUAAAAUAUUUGAACAGAAGGUUGCUUGUGAAGAAUUUUCAAAAUUAUAAUUCAGGGCACCAAGGCAGGGCAAUGUUACAUGCAUGUCCAAGUCAGAUGGAACUCUCAUUGGUGGCAUUUCCUUUCUUUUCUUAUUGUGAAAUAUUAAAUCUUUCUUAGGACAUCAAUAAAGGUUUGUUGAACAUCCUCCAAUUGGAGAAGAUAUCGCUACUUAAUAUCUAUUUAUAUACAUACAUACAAAAUGAAAAUUUUGACAGGGACUUACAUUGCUUUAAAGAUGACCAAGCUGCCAUUGCUGCAUUCUUCUCAGCUUGUUUCUUAUUCUUGGCAGGUUCUCCGGUGAAUGUAAUUCCAGCCAACUCGACUGUCCCUGUAAAAACAGGCUGAUGCCCC
RNAcentral lists this long non-coding RNA (788 nucleotides) under Manihot esculenta (cassava). Its description in RNAcentral is "long non-coding RNA (MESC_LNC001996)". The record is from RNAcentral. Lineage: Eukaryota; Viridiplantae; Streptophyta; Magnoliopsida; Malpighiales; Euphorbiaceae.